Sesamum indicum (sesame) is the source of this 1384-nucleotide RNA transcript. It is a transcript of the gene named RING/U-box superfamily protein, with no coding region annotated. NCBI's taxonomy places the organism in Eukaryota, Viridiplantae, Streptophyta, Magnoliopsida, Lamiales, Pedaliaceae. The record is from RefSeq and is a predicted model, not a curated record.
UCCUUCACAAUCCCUAUUUAAGGAGAAAGAAGAAAACCCUUCCUCUUCCUCUUCCUCCCCCUCUCUAUUCACAACUUAUAGAUACAAAUAUACUUACACCUUUCGGUUUUUCACUGGUUUACAAUUCCAAUAAAUCAGGAGAUUUAAGCACUUGCAAUCUUUUAUAUCAUGAGCAGCCAGGACCAGAUUCGGAGGUAUACAAGGGCUAGAAGUAGGAAACGAAUGUUAGAUGUUGAUCUCAAUGCUGUGCCGCCAUGUGAAAGUCGGGAUCAGGAGGGGCCUUCUAGUCGUACUAGGUCACAGGACAUGCAAGCAGCUCAAGAAGGAGACACUGCAGUGCCUCCACCAAUUGAUCUGGAGGCAUUUGAUGAUGAUGUUGUUAUUUCUUCACCAAGGGCAUUUGCAGAAGCCAAAAACAAUUCCAGAAGGAAUCGUGGACGUACAGUUGUGGUUGAUGUUGAAUCUGAGGAAAGGUCAUCUCGCAACAAGCGCAGGAGGGUUCCAACAAAUCAGACGAUUAUAAAUUGUGACCUUUACAUAAAUCUAGAAGGAAGCAGCAAUUCAACGAGAAAGAGUGGACAGAGCUCAGAAUUGCCAACUGUACCGCCGCCGCCACCACAGGAGCCAACAUUUAGCUGUCCUGUUUGCAUGGGCCCAUUAGUCGAGGAGAUGUCGACAAAAUGUGGGCAUAUUUUCUGCAAGGCAUGCAUCAAAGCUGCCAUAGCUGCUCAAAGCAAAUGCCCCACUUGCAGGAGAAGAACCACUGUGAAAGACAUUAUUAGAAUUUACCUUCCUGCCACCAGAAGUGCUUGAGGGUUAUGAUGAGUAAAGGGCCUCAUGAGAUGCUACAAAAUUUGGUUUAAAAUUUUUAAAUUAAAUACUCUAUUGACCCAUUGAUGAAAAAACUUGGGUUACUGUAUUCCUAUCCAUCUGGAACUGUUGAAUAGUGAACACUUGGCUAGUAGCAGUCUGCUCAACCAGAGAUAAGUUCUUUGCACAACAAAAUAUUAAAUAAUGUUGCCUUGGAUGACGCAUUAAUUGGAUUCGCCCUUGCAUUUCACGCAUCCGGAUAUGCUACUUUUCUGGAAGCUGUGGCAUUGACAUGAAAGAGAUUGAUUGGUAGGAUGUGAAAUCUGGAAGAUGGAUGGAUGUUAGAUUCUUAAGUUGAAUGCCUUCGGCGGAGAUGGGCUGGUAAUGACCUACUUCUGCCGGGAACUCUUAAGCAUUAGAUUGUUGCGAGUCGAGGGGGAGUUGUUACUGUAUUUUGUCAGAUGCCCAUCAACAAUAUGCACCUUUUUAUAGCUUUGGUUGCCAAGAGGGCAUGACGCGGUAACAUUGUCACUACAAUCCAAUUGCUGUUUAUUUUAUAACUUGCUUCUGGUAA